This is a long non-coding RNA of Myotis brandtii (Brandt's bat), 142 nucleotides long. RefSeq lists it as uncharacterized. Lineage: Eukaryota; Metazoa; Chordata; Mammalia; Chiroptera; Vespertilionidae. The record is from RefSeq and is a predicted model, not a curated record. The transcript has 3 exons.
GAUCAUCAUGGGUUUCCAAUGAUGCAAGUUGAUGGUGGCUCAGGGCAGGCCUGGAACUGGGAGAAAGAAGAGAAAGUACGUUAAGAAAGUAAGAUGAUACUUUGGCCGAAACCGGUUUGGCUCAGUGGAUAGAGCGUCGGCC